GGAGCUCAUUGAUGCCCUGGUCCAGAUCUGGGAGGAGAUCCCCGAGGACACCAUCUGUUGUCUCAUUAAGAGCAUCCCCGACGCUAUCAGCCAUGCAUACAAGUAUGCAGGGACCAUACAAACUACCAAGUACCAUUUCAAGUUGCUGCAAAUUAAUUUUCUGUCAAAUGGACAAGCCUGCCGCAUUGUUUUUCCACUUUGAUUUUCAGGGAUCUUUGAAUUCAGCCCUCUGUAGGGUCCUGUCACUCCUAACACAUUAUCCAGUCCGUAUCAGUCCAGAUAUCCAACAUAUUUUUUUUCCUCAUUGAGAUCUGGUGUAUAUUAAAAACUUUCUUUUAGCUUUUUAUUCAUGAGAAAAAUGUCAUGACAGUAAAACCACAAAGACCUGGCACGACUGGUUCAGACUGAGUGUAACACAUUAAACUGUAGUUACUUCACUGUUCACAGCUCGGUUCACCACAGAGCAGCAGUAACAUAAAAACCCGGAGUAAUGGCUACAUCCAGCAAGAUAUUUUUACACGAUAGCUAAAAUAACCGCACACAGCAGACUGAUUGUUCCUCGACAUGGCAUGAAAACAGUUUGUACACAGAAAGCAGACUGAGUCAUUUAUAGUUAUGUGGUACUACAACAUGCAGAUGCAUUCACUAAAGCUCCACGGCACCUUCAUCUGUUCCACAACCAGAAUAGCCAGGGUUUCCGCUCUCCAAUUACACAACAUUACUUCAUCUUUUGGCCUCUUUCUAUCCCACUCACAAAAAAAAUAAAAAAUCCCAUCUCCAUAGCAACAAACUCUCAUCCAUAGUUCACAAAAAUAAUUGUUUGCUCCCGCAUCAAACAGUUGUUCCGUGGAAGCUGUUAAAUUUUGAGAACUUGUGCGUCUGUGCCCACCUUUGGUAUAUUUAACAUAAAAGCCCAAGGCCUCUGACUUUUCUAUUUAUGUCCUUUGUGUGCUUCUGCCUCUAUACGCUGCUGCAGAGGCUGAGGUGGAAGAUAGUUGACUGCGCCGGUCCAGACGGUCUUAAAAGCAGGACUGUUCAUUAUUCACAUGUCCUUGGGUUGAGUGGAUGCAUGUCUGUAUUGCUUGUUAUUGGUCAGCUCGGCUCUGAUGCUAUCACAUAAAGGCACAGAUGCUGGAAAAAAAAGCACUUAAAUAAAAAAGAUGUCAAUGUUUCUCC
Astatotilapia calliptera (eastern happy) is the source of this 1176-nucleotide long non-coding RNA. Lineage: Eukaryota; Metazoa; Chordata; Actinopteri; Cichliformes; Cichlidae. The record is from Ensembl.